AAAGACCAGAAAACUUCGGACAACCAUGAAGCAGGUAACAGAAGCAGGUAACACAAGCAGCAAUGCAGAAGCAGGUAACACAAGCAGCAAACAGAAGCAGGUAACACAAGCAGCAAACAGAAGCAGGUAACACAAGCAGCAAUGCAAAACAGAAGCAGGUAACAGAAGCAGCAAUGCAAAACAGGCGAGCACAGAACAAGAUCAGAACAGGCGAGCACAGAUCAAGGGGGCUCAGAAACAAGGGGGGCUCAAAAACAAGAUCAGAACAGGCGAGCACAGAACAAGAUCAGAACAGGCGAGCACAGAUCAAGAUCCAAAAUCAAGCAUAGAAUAGGCGAGCACAGAACAAGAUCAGAACCUCAGAAAAUCAAACUCAUGAAGCAUAGCUGAAAGAAGUAAAGAACAGAGUCU
RNAcentral lists this long non-coding RNA (411 nucleotides) under Arachis ipaensis. RNAcentral's name for it is "long non-coding RNA (AIPA_LNC000440)". Lineage: Eukaryota; Viridiplantae; Streptophyta; Magnoliopsida; Fabales; Fabaceae. The record is from RNAcentral.